GUGGAGCACGCCGCGUGUGUGAUGAAGGCUUUCGGGUCGUAAAGCACUGUUGUAUGGGAAGAACGGGUUUAAGAGGAAAUGCUUAGACAGUGACGGUACCAUACCAGAAAGGGACGGCUAAAUACGUGCCAGCAGCCGCGGUAAUACGUAUGUCCCGAGCGUUAUCCGGAUUUAUUGGGCGUAAAGCGAGCGCAGACGGUUGCUUAAGUCUGAAGUGAAAGCCCACAGCUCAACUGUGGAAUGGCUUUGGAAACUGGGCAACUUGAGUACAGUAGAGGUAAGUGGAACUCCAUGUGUAGCGGUGGAAUGCGUAGAUAUAUGGAAGAACACCAGUGGCGAAGGCGGCUUACUGGACUGCAACUGACGUUGAGGCUCGAAAGUGUGGGUAGCAAACAGGAUUAGAUACCCUGGUAGUCCACACCGUAAACGAUGGAUACUAGUUGUUAGAGGGUUUCCGCCCUUUAGUGACGAAGCAAACGCAUUAAGUAUCCCGCCUGGGGAGUACGACCGCAAGGUUGAAACUCAAAGGAAUUGACGGGGACCCGCACAAGCGGUGGAGCAUGUGGUUUAAUUCGAAGCAACGCGAAGAACCUUACCAGGUCUUGACAUCCUUUGAAGGUACUAGAGAUAGUACUGUCUUCUUCGGAAGCAAAGUGACAGGUGGUGCAUGGCCGUCGUCAGCUCGUGUCGUGAGAUGUUGGGUUAAGUCCCGCAACGAGCGCAACCCUUAUGUUUAGUUGCCAGCAUUCAGUUGGGCACUCUAGACAGACUGCCGGUGACAAACCGGAGGAAGGCGGGGACGACGUCAGGUCAUCAUGCCCCUUAUGACCUGGGCUACACACGUGCUACAAUGGCGUAUACAACGAGCAGCAAACCUGUGAAGGCAAGCGAAUCUCUUAAAGUACGUCUCAGUUCGGAUUGUAGUCUGCAACUCGACUACUUGAAGUCGGAAUCGCUAGUAAUCCCGGAUC
This 971-nucleotide ribosomal RNA is filed under the name Fructobacillus fructosus. Its description in RNAcentral is "bacterial SSU rRNA". It matches the Rfam family "Bacterial small subunit ribosomal RNA", at positions 386 to 1350 of the family's 1533-position model. The record is from RNAcentral. Lineage: Bacteria; Bacillati; Bacillota; Bacilli; Lactobacillales; Lactobacillaceae.